Long non-coding RNA from Gopherus evgoodei (Goodes thornscrub tortoise), 139 nucleotides. RefSeq lists it as uncharacterized. The transcript has 4 exons. NCBI's taxonomy places the organism in Eukaryota, Metazoa, Chordata, Testudines, Testudinidae. The record is from RefSeq and is a predicted model, not a curated record.
UACAAAGCAUGCUGAGGCAAUUCAGCUGUCCUUCCCCCGACUGCCAUAUGCUGCUCCUAACCUCUGCCUUGGAGCUGCUCCCAGGAGCCUCCUGCUUGCUAUGCAGAGAGAGGGGGGGAAGUGGGGGACUAAUAUCAGG